This 73-nucleotide transfer RNA is filed under the name Stegodyphus mimosarum. It matches the Rfam family "tRNA". Rfam says of the family: Transfer RNA (tRNA) molecules are approximately 80 nucleotides in length. Lineage: Eukaryota; Metazoa; Arthropoda; Arachnida; Araneae; Eresidae. The record is from Rfam by way of RNAcentral.
GCCUUUGUGGUGUACUGGUUAGUACGCUCGGCACGUAUUCGAGAGGUUCGUGGUUCAAGUCCCGGCAAGGGCA